CUCGGGCCUCUCCUGCAGCAGCUUUUGUUGUUGGUUUUUUAAAUCCAGGGAGAAGUGAAAUGAAGCUCUAGCUGUGAACCCCAACUACCUGAGUGAGGAACUAGACGGCUCCUUACGCUGUCCAGCUCCUCUGCAGAAAAGGCAGUGUCAAAUAGUCGUCAAGGCCGUGGGCUUUGAGGCUGCAGCUGCCUGGAUUUGUAUCCCGACUUCUCCACUUACUGCGUUGGUGUGAACGAGGACACGGGGAGGUGCACCGAGAGUGGUCUGUGGAUUGGGCGCAUGAGUACUUCUUCCACUGGCAAAGGCUUUGAUCACAAGGCACACACCCUCAGAAUGCAGCUGUGACCCGAGCUUCACAUCCCCUGGAAGAUUCUAUCUUACAGGUUCAAGACAUCCUUUAGAUGCAGUAACUCAUUGGAUGAUUGGAGAUUUUGAGUAUGUAGGUAGGUGGGGCUUGCUGACUUUGUGCUUUACUACAGGGUGAUCGGGGUGGUCUCAGGGCCACUUACAAUGGUGCUCUCUAUGAAGACACCAGAUUGAAGGGGGCUCAAAUGCAGCCCUCACUUACUUACCAGUUCAUGAACCCUGGUCAGAGGCUAUGCGUCUUCCUGAAAGAAGGGAUGCCUUUUUCCUCCCACAAAACUGUGAUCUGCUUUUCAAGUCUGACAUUAGCAAAGCUUCAUCUACCCAGAGAAAAGAACGUUUUCCAAUCCACACAACAGUUUCCCACAGGCCAGCAGAGGCCCUGGGAAGGCUGGCUGAAGUUCUCCCCAGGUCAGUAUCUUGAUAGCUUUUGUGUUGAGCUGGUCAAAUUUUGCAAGAAAGAGCUUUUCAAACUCUAGCCAGCAGAGUAAAGGAUUGGCUUUGAGAGAUUUGUGAGUGAGUAGGACAGAGAGCUCCAUUCAAUGGAGCUUAAUCUCCAUCUUGGGUAGAGUAGCCACACCUCACAGUGGCUGCUGUGCUCCAGCCCAGAGACACUGUUUUACCCUCUAUAGACAGAUGCUGGGCUGCGGACAGCAGUGACUCUGUGGGGUGGAGUUGGACAAGGGGCUCUAGCUUUCACCCAGUCUUCCUUAUUGGAGCCUGCACCCUCAACCCUACCAAACAGUUCCAGAGGUACUUAGUACUACUAGUUCCUGCUAUUUUGAGGCUUCCACAUUGCGAAUUGGAUUUGGUCUCAGUUUUCCCCACUUUUGACUUUGCAUUCUGAUUCCUCAGAUCUGCUGGGCAGUUGCCACUCUCCCAUUGAAUUUCAGCAUAUACAAAUUUAUUACAUUCUCCUCUGCAAUUCUCCAGUUUUCCUUGUCCCUGUUGGUUUGUUGUUUUUUUUAAGAAGUUUCUUGAAUGUAAUGUUAGUAGAUUUCAGAAGGAAGAAAAAUUAAACUCAGGAGUUUAAUUUGCUAUCUAUCUUACUUGGAAUAGUCCAUAGGGUUCCUCCAGACUCUAAGAAAAAUGCCCUCUUGUUAUCAAUUCUGGAUAC
Molecule: non-coding RNA, 1480 nt
Organism: Delphinapterus leucas (beluga whale)
Lineage: Eukaryota; Metazoa; Chordata; Mammalia; Artiodactyla; Monodontidae
Source: RefSeq, a predicted model, not a curated record